AAAAAAAAAAAGGUUUGAAUCGUAGGCCACAACUAUGUUACUAUUUCUGAGAACGAAUUAGAUUUAUUCGUGAUCUUUUCUUUUUUUUCCUUUCUUUACAAGACGUCUAUGAUUAGCAAAAUCUUCACACAGCGUAAUUUGAUUCGCAAGGAAAUGAUUGUAGAUCAAUCCAUAUUAUUAUUAAUUUCUUUUGUUAUUUUUAAUGAAAGAUCAAUCCAUCUUUGUAGUUUGUCGCUAUAUAGGCUCUCUUUAUCAUCAUUUAUAUUAUUAUCUAUCUAUCUAUCUAUCUAUAGGCGCUCCCACCAUGUCCUACUUCAUAUCAUACAUAUUAUUAUCUCCUUUGGAAAGCAAGCUUAGCUUGGGAGCUUUUACAUGUGCUCAAGUCCUUGCAAUCCUUUGUUAUAUUUGUUUUCUUGGAAGACUUGUUAAUAUGAAUUAUUAUUAUUAUUAUUAUUAUUAUUAUUAUUAUUAUUAUUAUUAUUAUUAUUAUUAGUAUUAUUAUUAUUAUUAUUAUUAUUAUUAUUAUUAUUAUUAUUAAGAUGUGAGGGUUUGAAUCGGUCAAAUUAGAUUGGACUUGUUAAUAUGAAUUAACCUAAUCUGUUCUCUUUUUUGAGUGUUGAUGCUAUAAUGUAUUAGCCUAUUAGGCACUUGAAUUAAUAAAUUAAUUUUACUUUGGAAUAUAUAUAUAUAUAUAUAUAUAUAUAUAUAUAUAUAUAUANNNNNNNNNNNNNNNNNNNNNNNNNNNNNNNNNNNNNNNNNNNNNNNNNNNNNNNNNNNNNNNNNNNNNNNNNNNNNNNNNNNNNNNNNNNNNNNNNNNNNNNNNNNNNNNNNNNNNNNNNNNNNNNNNNNNNNNNNNNNNNNNNNNNNNNNNNNNNNNNNNNNNNNNNNNNNNNNNNNNNNNNNNNNNNNNNNNNNNNNNNNNNNNNNNNNNNNNNNNNNNNNNNNNNNNNNNNNNNNNNNNNNNNNNNNNAAAAACACUUCAUUAUAAUUAAUUUUGAGCAGAGAACAUCUCUUUUCUUAGAAUUUAGGACCCAAAUCUUUUCAAGAAUGUAUGUAUAUAAGUAAAACAAUAAUAAUAUUUAAUUACAAGCAGAGAGAGCAAAUAUUUCUUCUUUUUUUUUAGAAGAAGAAAAAAAAAUAGAAUUAGAGAAUAGUUUUGUUAUAGGAAAAUUAGAAUCGGCGGCGGCGGUGGUGGUGGCAACUCGGACGAUGUUGUCCGCUACCGCCCGCCGACUCGUAGAAGCUGGCCUUCAGGUCCUGCAGCUCCAUGUAGUGGACGGAGGGGUCGCUGCUCCUCAGCCGCUGGAGCAAGUAGAGAAAGAAGUCGAUGCCGCACGCGAUCCGCAGCGCCCCCUCGUAUGCGUAGCCGAACUCCGGCACCGACAGCCGCAGCAGGUCCUCGAAGAGCGGGUGGUUCAAGAAGUUCGCCUCCACCUCGAACCUCUGCACCGCCGCCCCCUCCGUGCCCACGCACACCCAGAUACGGCCUUCCGGCAGCCCGCCCGGGAAGCUCCUGCCGCCACCGCAGACUACCAUCUUCUUCACCAAGCUCGUCAUGCCGAUCCCCAUUCGCUGCACAGUACUGCCGCUUCCUGUUGGACUCGCUAAUGUUGAGGAGGAGGGGAGGGGUGGUGCUUUUAUAUAGGUAGAAGGUCAGGAAUCAUGCAUUACUUUAUUCCGACGCCUGAUCUGAAAACACUGCAUGUUCCAGUAAUCAAUGUAGCAUUGACUCAAGUAGUACAACACGACUGGGGUUGUAUGGAUAUCUCAAGAAUUCCGACGUGUGAAGGCUUCGUCUUCCUGCACACAACGCGGAAGCCACUGGCGGUUCAUUUUGUGCUCACUUGGGAGUCUCCAUGCACGCAUGCAAACAACUGACGCUACGAGAGGAGGUCAACGACUGGAUUGUAUUCUUCUUAGAAUCCGAAGCGUCGAACUGUGAUUUCGAACCCCUGAUGAGGAAGAAGCAUCUCCGACAACUUCAUCGUUUCACUUUGGCUUGUGUGGGACUUCGCGGAAGGGUGUUGCUGUGGGGAACGGAGGAGGAAGCACGUGGGACGGGCGAGAGGUCAAGCCCGCGGCCAGCUAGCUUGGUUGGAUGGAGAACUUAAAAGCGUGUUUCAUGGAGACGGUGAACGUGAGAGAUCCAGCGUAAGAGAAGAAAGAAACGCGAAGGGAGCAGGAAGGUGGGUGGCGUUUAGGUCGGUCGGCGAUGCGGGUGGUUGAUGGAAGCACCGGAAGGGCUUUCUCGUCUCGCAGUUGCAAUGCCAAGCAAGCAAAACCCUGCUUGAGCUGGUGCAAACAUAUAUUAUAUCUUGUCUGAGACAAAACCCAACAUAUAAGCAUUCUAUUUAAGGAGGUUUAUUCGACAUAUAUAGAUAAGCAUUUGGAAGAAACUGAUGGCCACCUGCACAAACUUAGCUGCAUCACAAUAGCAUUGCUCAUCAUCACUAGGUUUUUGACUCCCUCGAGUACUGCUGGCUAACAUGAGCAGAUAAAAUCUCAGUAUCACCAUGGAAAAGUAACCAGUUAUUGACGGAAAGCAAAACAGGAACAGCCUUCGCACACAGCUGCCUUGCAACUUUUUAAGAUCAGAGGCUUUACGAACUCUAAGCAUAAGAUCUUAUUUCAAUUUGUGACCGAUGGGGCAACCAUCACCUUGAAACACAACAUAGAUAUACAUGUAUUGUAAAUUCCACAACAAAGACGAGAGUAGUUAUCAUAUACAUUUGAGUGAAUACAUAAUGAGUGACACCACUUGCACGAUGGACAAUUACAAAUGAUAUAUGAUGAAUUCUGAAUGCAGUCCAGUUACUAUAAAGAAUAACACAUGAUGCUUGCUCGAGCUUUAGCAGCAAGCGUUCAAACAAACAUGUCUUACGGCAGAGCGGUAAUCGACACAACAUUUUAUUUGGGGCAUUGUGGCUGAAGAAUCAACCGGUAUUUCUCACAGCUUACUAAUGGUGGCUUAGGAUGUAGCAGCUUUGUACGAUGGAUUGAAAGGCACCUGUUCAGCACAGUCCACAUUGUCUCCAGAGAAUUGGCGCCCUACUCCCAUCGAGUCCAGGUAAUAUUGGUAAUGAGAUAUGAUAUUGUUCAUGGGAUCAAUGUAGCCCUGGCCGCAAAUAUUGUCUCCAUACAAUAUAUUCAUCGUAAGCCCAAAGCCAGGUAACCUUUUCGACAAAGUGUCAUUCUUUGUGGGCUUCCAGUUUCCAACAAACACAUCAUGGGCCGAAGGCUGCUUCUUCUUCAUCGGGGUCAUCCACCUCCAGAUGGCAGCUUCGAAAGCCAGGGUAGCAUUCUGCUCCAGGUAUUCUGGAUGGCUCAACAGAUCUACCUUUAGAGCAUCACCAACAAGUCCAUAGUUGUAGUUCCUGAAAGGCAAUGAUUAGAUUCGGAAGCUUUCGAUUUAUUUGAAUCCGGCAAUGAGCUUAAUGACCGCGUUCCAUCCUUAAACCAAACACAAACUAGAAGCAUAUCUUUGACAUACCAGUACACAGGCAGAGCACCACGUCCAUAAUAUUGAACUCCAUCGAUACAGGGAUAAAGGUAGUUUGGAUCACAGUAGUCUUGACUUGGGCUCAUUUCAUGGUUAUAGCACAAUCCCCAUGCUAGUGGACCGCCAGUGGCAACACCAUACCCACCUAUAACAAAGAUCAUCGGUAAUGUAUAUACGUAAUAAGAAAAUUAUUAAAGUAGCUAUUGACAGUCGUUCCUAGAUAUCUGAGGUAUCAUCAGCCAGAAUGCAGCCCAGAAUUAGGUACAGUCAAUAACUCUCCACGAUCAGGAUUCCAUAAAGAUUAACAUUUUUUUCAACAGUUCUUUGUACAAGAUGUCUGUCCCUUAACAGGCAUCACUACAUUUAGUCUGGGCAUAGCUGCUAGAAGCUCAAGAGGGAGCAACAGCUGCAGGAAUACCUUCAAUCUUAUUUCUGCAGAAGCCGAAUUCAAAUCCCAUCUAUCAAAGAAAUCUGAUUGUGCAGGGAAAUGGUGAUAUUACACACCUAUUGGAUCACCAAAAUUAGCUUUCCUCAGUCAACUUUUGUUUACAUUUUCAACUAGAAAGUCUUAACUGAGUAAAUAUGUGUCCAUGUUAUUUGGUUCAUUUAUCUCCAAAUGUCUGGUUUAAUUCUUUCUUCGUUCUUGAUUUCUUGUUCAUUGAGACCAGACAUGAUGACGAAUGCAAAAGAGUCCAGUUGGGAUGCAUAUUUUAUUAUAUUAAUUUUUCCAAUUGUUUCAAAUCUACAUGUGGUUUAUUUCACUUAGGGUUGUAGUUGAAAUAUUUAAAGACAUCAGAGAUUGGUUGAGAGAAAUGGCAUUGUUUGAGUUGCCUGAUUAUUAUUUUCAUAUGCUAUUAGUCUCUGCAUUUUUUUUUUGCUGUGCUCAAUUACCCACGACUAUUGUUCUUGAAAACCAAAACCUAUAUGUAUAUAGAUCUAACUAAAGCAGAAGCCAUCGACUAAUAUAUUGCGUCAGAUCUGCAUAAUAGACAGAAUGAAUGCCUAUGAUGUGUGGCUCCCUGAUAUGCACUGCGCAUAAAAGCAAGGUGGAUAGUUAUCUCUUAUUCUAAAGACGAAAUGCCUAACCAAAUAGAGACUCAAAAUCUUUCCCUACUGAAGCAGAAACGUACAGCAUUACAAAAGAUGUUAAAUAUGUUGAUGGACACACAGAUUUGGCCAAGAAACUAAUAUUAUGCAUGACCUGUUCAUAUCGUUCUAUCAUCCGCCAUGUUUUUGGUGUCUCAAAGAUUUGCCUUUGGCAAAGGUUACAACGGCCGAUCCUCUUAUUUCUCCUUUCCCCUUUUAGUUUCGCAUGAUUCCAGAACUAGUCAAUGCACAGACCCACAAUUCCGUAACAAUUUGGUAUCGAAAUCACUCCUAAACCGAUGCAAUUUCUCAUGGAUGCAACUAAUAGAUUCGAUUAGGUGCAGCAAUUAAUUGGGGAGAGAGAUGACUUACAGGAGGUCUUGCUGCCGACGUGGCCGAGGAAGGCGGCGACCUCCUUCAUUUUGGUCUGCUUGUCGCCGGUGGUACCGAAACCAAGCGGCUCAAAGAGGGCGGCGGCGGUAAUGAAGGACUGGAAAUCCCAGAAGCCGACGGCGUGGGCGACGGGGGCGUUGCGCUUGCUGAAGAGGUUCUCGAACUGGUACACCUGGAAGUAGUCGGUGAUGGUCUCGUUGCAGCAGUAGACGCUCCCGCUGCACUCCCACCCCUUGUCGCACGUCUUCUGCUUCGACUUGGACGCAUCCGCCACCGUCACAGCUACUACUAGUAGAAGCAGCAGAGUGGCCGGCCGCGCCAUCAUCUUCCCCAUCCAGCAGAGCGAAGAGAGAGAAUGAGGAGGAGAACGGGGCAGAUCUAAUAUAAUUGGAAGAGGAGGCGAUGUCAGAAUGAGAGAGAAGCACCAACCACUACCCAAUUGAUGAUGCGAGACGAGAGAGAGGAGAAGAAGAAGGGCGAUGGUGGUAAUGGUUAUGGCGGACCAAAGGGAGGGAGCGAAUGAGAGGCAAAUAAUGGACUCGAAAUAAGAAUUGACCGCUACGGCAAGUGUGUCGGUGCGGUGCGGGGGAUUUGGGGCAGGCCAGCUCGUAACGUAGCUUCUAGAGCUCGUGGCAGUCAAUUUUGCUUGACCUAACAUUUACUAAUUAUGAGUAUUAUAACGACGUAAAAAUAACUAUCUGAUAACUUAAUAUUAUAUCAUCAAUAAUCCUUAGAUCAGAAAGAUGAUGGCUUCAAUCCUAUGAUACAAUUACACCACUAAAAUCAUUGAUUCAAAAAUUCAUUUGAGUUUUGAAAAGAUUUUAUCGGAUAUGUUCCGAUAUAAUUUCGUAGAAUUUGAUGUACUUUGAAUUUUAUUCAAUAUCUUCAUACAUCGAAAUAGACGUAGAAUACGAACUUAGUUGAAUCCGACCCGAUAUGUUAAUCGAACAAUUAGAAUAUGCUUUAAUAAUUAAAAUAAUAAAAUUAAUUUAAUUAGAUUUUAUUUAAAUAAAAAAGUAUUAUCUUAUGCAUACCUAAACUAUGUGAUACGUGAUUUACCACCAUAUCCAAAAUUGAUAUACUAAUUAUGUACUAGAUUUAUUUAUUAAAAAUUGAUGGUUAUCUCAUCGAAAAAAUUUACAACGAAAAUAUUGAUCAAUAUUAAAAAUCCAGAAUUUAAAAUAUCAACAAAUGAUAUUUUAAUUGUUAAUAGUGAGGCUCCGAUUAAAUCUCAUCUUCACCAUUUAUAUUUUUUUGAAAUAAAAAUAAAAAAAACAAUCAUUAGCUUAACUAUUGACAAAAAAAUAAAAAUAAAAAUAAAAUCUAAAAUUUUCAAGAAUCACAUCCCAAACCAAAUGAAUGCUAAUGCGUCAAAUCACAUCUGCUCUCUCUUUAUUUCCUAUUUGUGCCGUGAAUCGCUCCGGUGCUGCUGUCACGAUGGGAUUGGUUGCAAUCGAAUGCUUGCGAUGGGACGAGAGCGACUUGUGAACCGCUUUCUUUCGUUGCCCCGAUGCGAAGCAACAAUCGAGCCCACACAAUCGAUAUCGUCAUCCGGCUUCAUUACUGCGGAUUACGCCACGUAGAACCAAAAGGUGCUUAAGUGUAAAAGAUGUGAGAUAAAUAUGCUAGGCUUUAAUUUACAUAUUAUUUUUAUCUUUUUAAUAUUUUAAAUUUAUAUUGAGAUCUAAAUUUAUUUAAUCUAACAUUAUCGAUUUUAUCGACGAAAAUAAAAAAAAUAAUUUUAAUAUUUUAAUUAAUGAUAAUAAGAUGCAGCGGAUGAUUACUGUAUCUGCAUCAACAUGGAUGCAGUUAUCAAAUCAAAUUAAUUUUUACCAAAUAUGGCAGCGAUCGAUGAAAGGAGAAAGAAAGAAGGUGCCCACCUAAAUCAAAUUUUCACUGAACUGAUCCAAACCGAUUCAAUGAACCGGGUCCAGAGAAUAUCGAGUGGCAAUACACGACGGACGGUCCACACGCAUCCAUCAUAGUCGUACCAAACAUCGUAGCCAUCCCAUCGCCACGUGUGUCUUCGUGGUUGGCCUCUCAUUCCUCGUGUCUGGUGCGGUCCAUCUGGACCACUGGUUGCUGCCAACCUUUUUAUUUUUCCGUUCGCCGACUCCGUCAACAACGGCUUCCCAACUCUUAAACCACAUGCUGCUACACACAAAAAGAAGAAGACGCCGUGACAGCGUCAACAAGCGCAGUAGUAAGAGAAGUAAAUAGGACCCCGUAACUUAAUACUGCAUCACAACUUUUAAGAGUGGGUCAAUGAUGGGCAUAAAAUAGUACAAGUCUCGAUGAGGCAAUUAAAAUGAAAAAGGACGGUAAAUGUUUGUGUAAACUUGACCCGGCAACAACGAAGUGAAGCAAAAGGAAAACAUAAAGAGUCACUGCGUCGGACACAGAUCUGAAUCCUCUUCCUCGGAUCAUCAUCAUCACUUGAUCCUGCGGCAGAGGGUGACGCCGUCGCCGACGGGGAGCUGGCAGAUCUCGAUGCGGGGGUCCGCCGCCAGCGCGUUGUUGAGCUCCAGCACGAAGUCCCGGUAGUAGCGGAUGUACUUGCGCAUGGGGGCGUCCGGCGGCGCCACCACCGACCCGCUCCACAGCGUGUUGUCGUAGGCGAUGACGCCGCCCACCCUCACCAGCUCCAGCAGUCGCUUGUGGUAGUUGAUGUAGUUGUCCUUGUCCGCGUCCACGAAGACGAAGUCGAACGACCCAUGGUUCUUCUCCUGCGGUUCCCAGGAUCCCAUUUCAUAACUCGUCGAUCGACCUACAAACGAAUGGCGGAAAGAUAGAUCUGGAUCGAGGACGUCGACUUACAUCUUCAAUCAUUUGAUCGAGGACAGGGAGGGCGGGGCCUUCGCGGAAGUCGAUCUUGUGGGCGACGCCCGCCUUCUGGAUCACGGGGAGGCCGAUCUCGUAGUUCUCCCGGUUGAUGUCCAUGGCCAGGAUCUUGCCGUCGUCGGGGAGCGCGAGGGCGGUGGCGAGGAGGGAGUA
Molecule: long non-coding RNA, 7972 nt
Filed under: Musa acuminata (dwarf banana)
Lineage: Eukaryota; Viridiplantae; Streptophyta; Magnoliopsida; Zingiberales; Musaceae
Description: long non-coding RNA (MACU_LNC003672)
Source: RNAcentral